AUACGAAGGGUGCAAGCGUUAAUCGGAAUUACUGGGCGUAAAGCGCGCGUAGGUGGUUUUGUAAGUUGGAGGUGAAAGCCCCGGGCUCAACCUGGGAAUUGCCUCCAAAACUGCAUGACUAGAGUACGGUAGAGGGUAGUGGAAUUUCCUGUGUAGCGGUGAAAUGCGUAGAUAUAGGAAGGAACACCAGUGGCGAAGGCGACUACCUGGACUGAUACUGACACUGAGGUGCGAAAGCGGGGGGAGCAAACAGGAUUAGAUACCCUGUUAGUCCACGCCGUAAACGAUGUCAACUAGCCGUUGGGAUCCUUGUGAUCUUAGUGGCGCAGCUAACGCAUUAAGUUGACCGCCUGGGGAGUACGGCCGCAAGGUUAAAACUCAAAUGAAUUGACGGGG
This 396-nucleotide ribosomal RNA is filed under the name uncultured bacterium. Its description in RNAcentral is "partial 16S ribosomal RNA". It matches the Rfam family "Bacterial small subunit ribosomal RNA", at positions 523 to 918 of the family's 1533-position model. The record is from RNAcentral.